This 638-nucleotide ribosomal RNA is filed under the name uncultured Alphaproteobacteria bacterium. RNAcentral describes it as "bacterial SSU rRNA". It matches the Rfam family "Bacterial small subunit ribosomal RNA", at positions 50 to 733 of the family's 1533-position model. The record is from RNAcentral. Lineage: Bacteria; Pseudomonadati; Pseudomonadota; Alphaproteobacteria.
AACACAUGCAAGUCGAACGAGACUUCGGGUCUAGUGGCGCACGGGUGCGUAACGCGUGGGAAUCUGCCCUUUGCUUCGGAAUAACAGUUAGAAAUGACUGCUAAUACCGGAUGAUGUCUUCGGACCAAAGACUUAUCGGCAAAGGAUGAGCCCGCGUACGAUUAGGUAGUUGGUGGGGUAAAGGCCUACCAAGCCGACGAUCCUUAGCUGGUCUGAGAGGAUGAUCAGCCACACUGGGACUGAGACACGGCCCAGACUCCUACGGGAGGCAGCAUUUGGGAAUAGUGGACAAUGGGCGCAUGCCUGAUCCAGCAAUGCCGCGUGAGUGAUGAAGGCCUUCGGUUCGUAAAGCUCUUUUACCAGGGAUGAUAAUGACAGUACCUGGAGAAUAAGCUCCGGCUAACUCCGUGCCAGCAGCCGCGGUAAUACGGAGGGAGCUAGCGUUGUUCGGAAUUACUGGGCGUAAAGAGUACGUAGGCGGCUAUUCAAGUCAGAGGUGAAAGCCCUGGGGCUCAACCCGCGGAACUGCCUUUGAAACUAGGUGGCUAGAAUCUUGGAGAGGUCAGUGGAAUUCCGAGUGUAGAGGUGAAAUUCGUAGAUAUUCGGAAGAACACCAGUGGCGAAGGCGACUGACUGGA